This 1043-nucleotide long non-coding RNA is filed under the name Triticum aestivum (bread wheat). RNAcentral's name for it is "long non-coding RNA (TAES_LNC026165)". The record is from RNAcentral. Lineage: Eukaryota; Viridiplantae; Streptophyta; Magnoliopsida; Poales; Poaceae.
UAGAACAAUGAUAUGGUCAACCAUAUAACAUACAGAAUCUUGCUGCAGCGGGAUUAUUCAGAAUAGAAAUAUAAUUUCUUGUUUCCUUCAAUCCUCUGUUCACAUGGUAAAAUGAGUUAUAGUAUUACCAAAUAUUCAGAAUAUUUUUUCAUCGUAGUUCUAGCUUGUAAAACAUCAUACUACCCUCAGAAACCCAUUAGCAUAACCAAAAUAGCCACAGGAUGCAUUUUAAGCAAGCACAAAUGAAAUGACAAAUGAUUGUGAGGUAAAAUCAUAAUACAUAGGUGAAAACAGAUGUCUAUGAGGCCAGACUAUAUAUGAGGUGAGAGUAGUAUAUUGCAUACAGUGAUACAGACUUACCAACCUCACUGCCAGAAACAAACAGUGCAAGAAAACUGAAAAGAUGCAUCUACAAGAAUAUAGACUGUUUGGUUUGCAAAACCAGAUUAUGAAUUGUCCGUGUAAUCCUAACUGCACAAGCACCAUAGAGCGACAUUACGUCAUGCUAAACUAUCAUGGUAGAUGAAUCGUACUUAAAUAUUGAAUACGUGCAGGUACAUAUGCAAAAGUUUGUUGCUAAAAUAGUUAACAUGAUGAAGGAUGAAAAAUUAUACUAUCCACAAGGAGGUCCCAUAAUCAUAUCACAGGUAUUUCAGUUGAACAAUACUUGACCCUCGUGCUCUGUAUUAGCUGAUCUUUUUGUGCAACCCUAAAAUUUAAAAUGCAGAUCGAGAACGAAUAUAAGCUAGUCGAGGGAGCAUUUCAUUCAAGGGGACCACCUUAUGUUCGCUGGGCAGCAGCAAUGGCUGUAAACCUUCAGACCGGCGUUCCAUGGAUGAUGUGCAAACAAGACGAUGCUCCAGAUCCCAUCGUCAGUGCCCUUUCUUAUACCAUUAUGCAGGAUUGCAGAUUAUCCACAAUUUGAAAGCAGUGUAACAUUUAUUACAUGGUUAGAUUAAUACCUGCAACGGGCUCAUCUGCGGGGAAACAUUUAUUGGGCCAAAUAAGCCAAACAAGCCAGCUUUAUGGACCGAAAAUUGGAC